GAUGAACGCUGGCGGCGUGCCUAAUACAUGCAAGUCGAGCGAACAGACGAGGAGCUUGCUCCUCUGACGUUAGCGGCGGACGGGUGAGUAACACGUGGAUAACCUACCUAUAAGACUGGGAUAACUUCGGGAAACCGGAGCUAAUACCGGAUAAUAUAUUGAACCGCAUGGUUCAAUAGUGAAAGACGGUUUUGCUGUCACUUCUAGAUGGAUCCGCGCCGCAUUAGCUAGUUGGUAAGGUAACGGCUUACCAAGGCAACGAUGCGUAGCCGACCUGAGAGGGUGAUCGACCACACUGGAACUGAGACACGGUCCAGACUCCUACGGGAGGCAGCAGUAGGGAAUCUUCCGCAAAGGGCGAAAGCCUGACGGAGCAACGCCGCGUGAGUGAUGAAGGUCUUCGGAUCGUAAAACUCUGUUAUUAGGGAAGAACAAAUGUGUAAGUAACUAUGCACGUCUUGACGGUACCUAAUCAGAAAGCCACGGCUAACUACGUG
Molecule: ribosomal RNA, 497 nt
Filed under: uncultured bacterium
Lineage: Bacteria
Description: partial 16S ribosomal RNA
Rfam family: Bacterial small subunit ribosomal RNA
Source: RNAcentral